CGGGUGGCUGCAGCAAGGAAUAUUGGGCAAUGGGCGAAAGCCUGACCCAGCGACACCGCGUGGGGGAAGAAGGCCUUCGGGUUGUAAACCCCUUUUCCCAGGGAAGAAUAAUGACGGUACUUGGGGAAUAAGCCUCGGCUAACUACGUGCCAGCAGCCGCGGUAAUACGUAGGAGGCUAGCGUUAUCCGGAUUUACUGGGCGUAAAGAGGGCGUAGGCGGCUUUUCAAGUCGGAUGUAAAAUCUCCCGGCUUAACUGGGAGGGCCCAUUCGAUACUGUUGGGCUAGAGUGCAGCAGAGGGAGGUGGAAUUCCCGGUGUAGUGGUGAAAUGCGUAGAUAUCGGGAAGAACACCAGUGGCGAAGGCGGCCUCCUGGGCUGUUACUGACGCUGAGGCCCGAAGGCGUGGGGAGCAAACAGGAUUAGAUACCCCAGUAGUC
RNAcentral lists this ribosomal RNA (437 nucleotides) under uncultured Dehalococcoidia bacterium. Its description in RNAcentral is "bacterial SSU rRNA". It matches the Rfam family "Bacterial small subunit ribosomal RNA", at positions 342 to 795 of the family's 1533-position model. Lineage: Bacteria; Bacillati; Chloroflexota; Dehalococcoidia. The record is from RNAcentral.